This 326-nucleotide long non-coding RNA is filed under the name Nicotiana benthamiana. RNAcentral's name for it is "long non-coding RNA (NBEN_LNC012805)". Lineage: Eukaryota; Viridiplantae; Streptophyta; Magnoliopsida; Solanales; Solanaceae. The record is from RNAcentral.
AGUCUAUCGAGGAGGAGGUACCAGUAUUCGUAUUAGAAGUCAUGAUUAAUGCACCAGUUUGAAAAGAAAAACAGUUUCGACAAGCAAAAUAUCACGAAAUCAGAUAUUCACACACGAAGCCAAAUAAUCACACACAAAGUAUACGAUACUCAAGAGAGGUACAGAGUUACCCUCCUUCUUCGCGACCGGAGAAGAUCGGCCUUCAGUCAAUCAGAGAAAACCCUAGGUACAAAACCCUAGGUGCAACCGUUGCAAACCUUACUGGAAAUAUAGUCAGGGAUGUCGGAAAGUCACCCUAAACAUCCACUGAGUGAAGAUCGAGCCAC